RNAcentral lists this ribosomal RNA (362 nucleotides) under Ctenophora environmental sample. RNAcentral describes it as "partial Eukaryotic large subunit ribosomal RNA". It matches the Rfam family "Eukaryotic large subunit ribosomal RNA", at positions 1524 to 1863 of the family's 3401-position model. Lineage: Eukaryota; Metazoa; Ctenophora. The record is from RNAcentral.
UUGGACAUGGGUUAGUCGACCCUAAGAGAUAGGGAAACUCCGUGUCAAAGUGCCCAAUCUUGGGCCGUCUAUCGAAAGGGAAUCGGGUUAAUAUUCCCGAACCGGAACACGGAUAUUGCCACUCCUCGUGGGUGGCAAGUGCGGCAACGCAACCGAACGCGGAGACGCCGGCGGGGGCCCCGGAAAGAGUUCUCUUUUCUUUUUAACAGGCUUUCACCCUGAAAUCGGAUUGUCCGGAGAUAGGGUUUAAUGCCUGGUAAAGCACCACACUUCUUGUGGUGUCCGGUGCGUUCUCGACGGCCCUUGAAAAUCCGCGGGAGACAAUGAUUUUCGUGUCCGGUCGUACUCAUAACCGCAGCAGG